UGCGAUGCUUGUAGACCCAAGUCUGGGAGGC
This 31-nucleotide non-coding RNA is filed under the name Rattus norvegicus (Norway rat). The record is from RNAcentral. Lineage: Eukaryota; Metazoa; Chordata; Mammalia; Rodentia; Muridae.